GAUGAAGAACGCAGCGAAAUGCGAUAAGUAAUGUGAAUUGCAGAAUUCAGUGAAUCAUCGAAUCUUUGAACGCACAUUGCGCCCGCUAGUAUUCUGGCGGGCAUGCCUGUUCGAGCGUCAUUUCAACCAUCAAGCCCUGUUUAGGCUUGUGUUGGGGCCCUGCGGUUGCCGCAGCCCCCUAAAUGCAGUGGCGGGCUCGUUGUCACUCCGAGCGCAGUAGCGUAUCUCGCUCUGGGCGUGGCGGCGGGUGCUAGCCGUGAAACACCCCCUAAGGUUGACCUCGGAUCAGGUAGGAAUACCCGCUGAACUUAAGCAUAUCAAUAAGCGGAGGA
This 332-nucleotide unclassified non-coding RNA is filed under the name soil metagenome. Its description in RNAcentral is "partial contains 5.8S ribosomal RNA, internal transcribed spacer 2, and large subunit ribosomal RNA". The stretch from base 1 to 120 matches the Rfam family "5.8S ribosomal RNA", at positions 35 to 154 of the family's 154-position model. The record is from RNAcentral.